This 473-nucleotide ribosomal RNA is filed under the name uncultured bacterium. Its description in RNAcentral is "partial 16S ribosomal RNA". It matches the Rfam family "Bacterial small subunit ribosomal RNA", at positions 28 to 507 of the family's 1533-position model. The record is from RNAcentral.
GGUGAACGCUGGCGGCGUGCCUAAGACAUGCAAGUCGAGCGGGCCGCGGGGUUUUACUCCGUGGUCAGCGGCGGACGGGUGAGUAACGCGUGGGUGACCUACCCGGAAGAGGGGGACAACCCGGGGAAACUCGGGCUAAUCCCCCAUGUGGACCCGCCCCUUGGGGUGUGUCCAAAGGGCUUUGCCCGCUUCCGGAUGGGCCCGCGUCCCAUCAGCUAGUUGGUGGGGUAAUGGCCCACCAAGGCGACGACGGGUAGCCGGCCUGAGAGGGUGGCCGGCCACAGGGGAACUGAGAAACGGGCCCCACUCCGACGGGAGGAAGCAGUGAGGAAGCGUCCGCAAUGGGCGCAAGCCUGACGGAGCGACGCCGCGUGGAGGAAGAAGCCCUUCGGGGUGUAAACUCCUGAACCCGGGACGAAACCCCCGACGAGGGGACGGACGGGACCGGGGUAAUAGCGCCGGCCAACUCCGUG